This 422-nucleotide long non-coding RNA is filed under the name Rosa chinensis. RNAcentral's name for it is "sRNA RchiOBHm_Chr5g0009191". The record is from RNAcentral. Lineage: Eukaryota; Viridiplantae; Streptophyta; Magnoliopsida; Rosales; Rosaceae.
UUGGAAUGAAGAAGCAAUCACCAGAUGCACUUUCUUCUCAUCCCAAGUAAUAUUUGUUCUUUCAAGCAAUGGGUUGUUUCAGGAAGGAUCAAAGAACUUGCAGUUUUAUAUCAAUCACUUAAUCUUCAGGGAAGCUAACAUUGAACCAGCAAUGUCAUCACAUACGGUGCACAACCCAACAAGCAGAAAAUUGACUGAAGCAGCAUGUCAUUGCAAUUCUUACUCCACUUUUUGUUUAGAUAUUACUGGAGCAAGCAAUUUUUUGAUAGGCUAACAUGUUUUGUUUAUAUACACCUAGACCAACUAGAACAACUACUUUUUGGAAAAUAUUCCAGCAACAACUGUAAAUAAGUAAACCUUGGAUAGCCUAUUUUUUGAACACUCCACUAUGAUAAGAUCAUCCUUUGUUUUAGAUGAUCUGC